Molecule: long non-coding RNA, 1108 nt
Organism: Larimichthys crocea (large yellow croaker)
Lineage: Eukaryota; Metazoa; Chordata; Actinopteri; Sciaenidae
Exons: 6
Source: RefSeq, a predicted model, not a curated record
UCCUAAUAACGGAUCUUCGACACAGCGUUUGCUCCCUUUGGUCAGAAAAAAUAUGAGUUUAAAUAACCAAUACAUUGAGUCAAAUAGAUAGAUAGAUAGAUAGAUAGAUAGAUAGAUAGAUAGAUAGAUAGAUAGAUAGAUAGAUAGAUAGAUAGAUAGAUAGAUAGAUAGAUAGAUAGAUGUUUUUAUAAUGUUUAAAAGGGGCAAGGAGCCCCACAAUUAGUCACGACCCAAACAGACCUGUUGAGCAGCAGUCACGACCAUCAUCCUACAUCCUGGUAACAUCGUGAGCAUGUCAGCAGGAUGUAACAUGCUCACGAACUAAGCCUCUUUAAGGAAACAGCACCUGUGUCCGUGUUUUUUGACUCUCAGCGCUGGAUACGUCUUGCUGGCAUGAUCCGAAGAGAAGCGGUGCUUUCCCGGGUCAUUAGCCGCGUCACCUGCUCCAGACUGAGACCAGCCACUGCCUCUCCAUUCACCUGCAGAAUUUCAUCACCAAUGCCAAGGAGACCUACAUAGGGGCCUUCACCACCUGCUUCACCCACUUUCUCUACAUAUACGCCUGGGAAGGAAACAGGGGAAGAGGGGAAAAGGGAAACAGAUUAUGUUUAAUGCACCAUGCAACAGAUAUAUGCAAAAUAUAUCACUGAAGGAUAACCUGUCUAUUAUCUAAGAAAAUAAAGUAACGAAAAUUAAAUAACAGCACGAUGUUACCUGUAUCUGGUCGACCUUUGCCCCUUGAGAUGACGAAACCAAAGGGACCGUUUGGGGGUCUAACGAGCUCCAGGAGGAGGGUCCCAUCAGGGAAAGCGUGUGUGACCCGGCCCACCGGACGAGCAAUUCUAGAGAGGAGGCUUUGCGCAAUUGGGCCAGUGGCAGCACCUAGUGCUCUGCUCUGAGGUCUUCAGCCCGAGACAUACCGAGGCCACGAAGAGCAGGACGACACUCGGGAACAGAGCCAAGGUCCCCACUCAGACCUGCUGAGAAAUUGAACACUCACUCACCUUGUCCAUCUGGAGUGGCAUCCCAGAUUUCAGCAGCUGGCAGGUCCGAGUUGUGCCGGGCUGGGGAGUACCUCAGGGUUGAGGGCCUGAUACAGGGCACCGGG